GAUCCAUCCCCGGGGAGCGUGCUUGCGCUGAGAGGAAGGUAUCGCACCCUUCGACCCGUAGAACCUGAACCGAUUAGCAUCGGCGGAGGGAGUGGUCUGGUUCCCGAA
Molecule: non-coding RNA, 108 nt
Filed under: Aurantiacibacter marinus
Lineage: Bacteria; Pseudomonadati; Pseudomonadota; Alphaproteobacteria; Sphingomonadales; Erythrobacteraceae
Description: Erythrobacter marinus TPP sequence
Rfam family: TPP riboswitch aptamer (THI element)
About the family: Vitamin B(1) in its active form thiamin pyrophosphate (TPP) is an essential coenzyme that is synthesised by coupling of pyrimidine and thiazole moieties in bacteria. The previously detected thiamin-regulatory element, thi box was extended, resulting in a new, highly conserved RNA secondary structure, the THI element, which is widely distributed in eubacteria and also occurs in some archaea. Analysis of operon structures identified a large number of new candidate thiamin-regulated genes, mostly transporters, in various prokaryotic organisms.
Source: Rfam by way of RNAcentral